AAGUCGAGCGCGCCCUUCGGGGUGAGCGGCGGACGGGUUAGUAACGCGUGGGAAUAUGCCCAAAGGUACGGAAUAGCCUCUGGAAACGGAGAGUAAUACCGUAUGUGCCCUUCGGGGGAAAGAUUUAUCGCCUUUGGAUUACCCCGCGUCAGAUUAGGUAGUUGGUGGGGUAAUGGCCUACCAAGCCUACGAUCUAUAGCUGGUUUUAGAGGAUGAUCAGCAACACUGGGACUGAGACACGGCCCAGACUCCUACGGGAGGCAGCAGUGGGGAAUCUUGGACAAUGGGGGCAACCCUGAUCCAGCCAUGCCGCGUGA
RNAcentral lists this ribosomal RNA (317 nucleotides) under bacterium DC-1. RNAcentral's name for it is "bacterial SSU rRNA". It matches the Rfam family "Bacterial small subunit ribosomal RNA", at positions 59 to 404 of the family's 1533-position model. The record is from RNAcentral.